UGUGAUAUGCCCAGCAUUCCUGCCAACUUUU
This 31-nucleotide non-coding RNA is filed under the name Rattus norvegicus (Norway rat). Lineage: Eukaryota; Metazoa; Chordata; Mammalia; Rodentia; Muridae. The record is from RNAcentral.